This is a non-coding RNA of Potamilus streckersoni, 77 nucleotides long. The record is from the annotation of a GenBank genome assembly. NCBI's taxonomy places the organism in Eukaryota, Metazoa, Mollusca, Bivalvia, Unionida, Unionidae.
GACUGCUCUGGUGGCCUAGUGGUCAGAGAGUCUGCUUCAGAUGCAGAUUGUGGCAGGUUCAAACCCUGGCCAAGUCA